RNAcentral lists this ribosomal RNA (254 nucleotides) under uncultured bacterium. Its description in RNAcentral is "partial 16S ribosomal RNA". It matches the Rfam family "Bacterial small subunit ribosomal RNA", at positions 524 to 776 of the family's 1533-position model. The record is from RNAcentral.
UACGUAGGGUGCGAGCGUUUAAUCGGAAUUACUGGGCGUAAAGCGUGCGCAGGCGGUUUUGUAAGCCAGAUGUGAAAUCCCCGGGCUCAACCUGGGAAUGGCAUUUGGGACUGCAAGGCUGGAGUGCGGCAGAGGAGACUGGAAUUCCUGGUGUAGCAGUGAAAUGCGUAGAUAUCAGGAGGAAUACCGAUGGCGAAGGCAGGUCUCUGGGCUGACACUGACGCUCGUGCACGAAAGCGUGGGGAGCAAACAGG